Molecule: ribosomal RNA, 263 nt
Filed under: uncultured bacterium
Lineage: Bacteria
Description: partial 16S ribosomal RNA
Rfam family: Bacterial small subunit ribosomal RNA
Source: RNAcentral
GUCCACGCUGUAAACGUUGGGCACUAGGUGUGGCGACCCGAUCAAUGGUUGCCGUGCCGAAGCUAACGCAUUAAGUGCCCCGCCUGGGGAGUACGGCCGCAAGGCUAAAACUCAAAGGAAUUGACGGGUCCCCGCACAAGCGGCGGAGCAUGCGGCUUAAUUCGAUGCGACCCGAAGAACCUUACCUGGGUUUGACAUCAUGGGAAAAGUCGUAGAGAUACGGUGUCCGAAAGGGCCCAUGACAGGUGGUGCAUGGCUGUCGU